RNAcentral lists this ribosomal RNA (253 nucleotides) under uncultured bacterium. RNAcentral describes it as "partial 16S ribosomal RNA". It matches the Rfam family "Bacterial small subunit ribosomal RNA", at positions 524 to 776 of the family's 1533-position model. The record is from RNAcentral.
UACGAAGGGGGCUAGCGUUGCUCGGAAUCACUGGGCGUAAAGGGUGCGUAGGCGGGUCUUUAAGUCAGGGGUGAAAUCCUGGAGCUCAACUCCAGAACUGCCUUUGAUACUGGCAAUCUUGAGUCCGGAAGAGGUGAGUGGAACUCCUAGUGUAGAGGUGGAAUUCGUAGAUAUUAGGAAGAACACCAGCGGCGAAGGCGGCUCACUGGUCCGGUACUGACGCUGAGGUGCGAAAGCGUGGGGAGCAAACAGG